Molecule: long non-coding RNA, 3284 nt
Filed under: Homo sapiens (human)
Lineage: Eukaryota; Metazoa; Chordata; Mammalia; Primates; Hominidae
Description: UBE2E3 divergent transcript (UBE2E3-DT)
Source: RNAcentral
GGCCGCCCCCCACGCGGCCCCCCGGCCCCGCCGCCUUACCUCGGCCGCCCGCCCGGCCCGCUCGCGCGCCGCUACGGUGUGGGGGAGGGAGAGAGAAAAAAACCCUUCCUUAAGGAAAUGGAGGCAGCUGUGGGGGGGGGAAGGGGGGGGAGGGAAAAAAAGAAGCCGAGGAGGCUCUGGCCGGGGAGUGUGGAACAUUGAAAGUCGGAGGGGGUUGUGCAGUGCCGGGCUCCGGCCGGAGGGUGGCGCCGCCCAGCGCCUUCGGAAAAAAGCGGGGGUGGGAGCUCGGCUGGGCGAGGGCGCGAGCUCCCGGCGAGGCGGAGGGGACGCGGGAGACCCCCGCGCGCUGUAGCCUCCCGCCGCCGCCGCCCGGCUCGGCUCCUCCCGGCCGCGCAGUCAGCAAGUUCCGAGGCGAGCGCGGGGGGGAGGGGCGGGCGCGGCGGCGACGCGCGUGCUCGCUGCUUGCCUGGCGGAGGGGCGCGCGCCGCCGACGCCCGGCGGGCGCGAGCUGUUCCCGCGCGCUCCCGUGCGCGCUCUCCACACCUCCCCUCACCCUGGGGGUGCACGCGUCCGCCCGCGCGCGGCCAGGACAAAGAGCGCGGCGGGGACCCGGCGGGCUGGCCCCUGCCGCCCUUGGCCGCGGAGCCUGUGCCAGAGAAGGCGGGGGCGCGGGCACCGUAUCGCGGGGCCGCUGUGCCGCGGGGUGGCUUCCGGCCUGGGCCCGCCUCCGGGGCGAGGCUGCCCAUUGGGCUACCCGCGUCCCCAGGGCUGGUUCCAUCCCAUCCGCCUGCGCGGGGGCCGUCGUGGCUCCCGGGGCCCCAGUACCUGGGCAAGGGCCCUGGGCGCGUGGUUGGGAGUCCCCCGCCGCCCCGGGAGACGGGAGACUAAUGGGUGUUGUUGACGAGGCCAGGCACGCAGGCGGAGAAGAGCUGCCACUUGCCCCUCGCUCUCCAGGUGGACUCUGCGGUUUUUACCCCACGGCACAAAGUAGCCAGAAUACAAAAACUUCCUGUUUGCCACCCAGGCCUUCUCCAGCUACUGAGAACUUGUUCCGGUGAUGGAGCCUCAAAGGAAUUUGUGGAUUCCUCUCCCACAAGUGUCCAGGGGCAGGGGUGCUGUGAGAAUGUGCAGUUCACAAAGGGAGUGAGAAUGGCAGUCAAAAGAUGUAUAGAGUUAAGGGAAAGAAGAAAAGACUGAGUGAGCCAACGUAUUUGCUUACUAUUUCUCCUAAUAGAAAACUUUUGGUAAAGGCUUGAUAGCAACUCUAAAGAGUAAGUUACAUUUCCAUAAUUUUCCAAAGACACAGUCAUUCAGUUAACUUUAUUGAGGGCUAUAUGUUGCUAGGUGCUGGACAUACACUCAUUCAAUUGCUGUGUGACUAAAGCCAGGUCUCUACUCUGUGCUAAGAGCUCCUAGUCCAGAAGGGGAACAGUUCAUUAAAGUUCGCUAGGUUCAUAAGUAGUAAGGAUAUUCCACUCAGAAUGAACAGAUAGAAUAUCUCAUGCCUCAAAAAAGAUCAUGGUCUGUGUGUGGACAAGCAUUUUGAUUUGGCUGGGUCAAAGAGUGCUUGUGGGAAAAGCUUGUUAGUGAAAAUAAAAGCAGAAUUUUCCCCCAGCUUUACACGAUGUGAUGUUACAGCAAAAGCCAGCCAAUUUGGAGUUGAAGCUUUGCUUUGUUUGGAAUGGGGAGACAGAAAAGGAAAGCUGUACGUUAAACAUGGGUUCUUUUAGGAAAUUUAAGAACAGAAAUAGCCUGAAGGCCCAAAGGCCAAUUGCUGAUAGGAUUUAGUGGGGUAAGGAGCUUAGGGGAGAAAGAUAUUUAGUUGUUUGGUAACAUCUUCUACAGAAGAAAUAGUAUUGGGUUGAAAAGCCAGGGAAGUGUAUUCUAAUCCUCAUUCUACGAAGUUCAUAUGACCUCAGGCAAGUUAAGUUAUUUCAAUUACUUUUAUGUAAAAGGAGAUUGUAUCAAAGGUUCUAAGUCCUCUCCUGCUCAAAAAUUCCAUGAUUCCGUGAUUCUUUGGCGAACUUGAAGUCAUGGAGUUUAACUUAACAUUCACCCAACAGAAUAUUUAGGAUCUACUAACUGCUUGGGAAACUGGAGUGAAACAUGGGUCAUGCUCUUAACCAAGCUCAAUUGUGCAGUGGGGCAGCCAGAAACGUAGCCUGCAGAAUGAGAAGUGCUGUAUUAAAGAAGUAAAGAGAAUGAGAAAAGAGCAUUACUAAUCAUCAAUUAACUAAUAAUGGAACUAUUAAUUCAGGUUGGAAUUGUGGGGCAUGAGGUAAAGGUCAAAGAAGGAAACAUUAGAUUGGUCCUGGAGAGAGCACUAGGGCCAGUGAUAAUGUAGAUAAUAUAGAUAAUGCUCUUGGCAAAAUACCUGGAAUUUGGGUGUUCAACAAAUAAUACCUAUUGUUAAAGUCACCGUAAAGAUAAUGAAUGGCUCCAUAAGGUUAGGGGCAGUAGUGCCCUGCCCCUACAAUGUGAGGUGCCUGGCUGCCUUCAUUCAGCUGACUCAAGGGGUUGCUCAAAUGAUUUCAGCUCACAGCUCCUCUCCCAGGUGACUUGGCAUCACCUCCACCAGAAGUAACUUGUAAGGUGUAAAUUGUUUCUAAUGUUUAGUUCUUCCUUGUGUGACAACCUGUUUUGUAAUUAUUUUUUCUCUCUUGUUUUUGCUAUGUCAAUCCUUGAAAUUAAGGAUCAUGUUUCACAGGCACUCUUGGAAGCAUACAAAUUUGACCUAAUGCAAUUAUUUCAUAAAAUAUAAAAAGGGCCCUUUUCCCAUAAGGUCCCUCAGAAUAGUUCCACAAGCAGACACCAGCUACCACAAAGAAGAUUGUUUCCUCUCAGUCUCUUUUAUUUUCUCUUGUUGGUGUGGGGUCCUGCCAGCCUCUCACAACCCUGAGAAGGGCAGUGGUAAGAGGGAAGAUGCCGAAUCCAAUUGCAGUAUUACAAUGAUUAUCUCUUAUCCCCUUAUCCACCAAAUGUUGUGACAAAAAGAGGCCUGCCUAAGGGCAAAUAAGGCAGACCCCAGAAUCCUUUGCACCUCCCUAGUUUGGGAGAUGCUUUUUCCUGCGCCUUUCAAUGAGUCUCAGUGUUAUCUGUGUACAUAACUGUGAGUAUGUAUAACUAAGAAUUUCACAGGAUCUAUCACUGAGUUACCUAAGAAGUUUCUGAAUUGAAUGAUUAUGUAAGCUGGGGUAUAGACCUCUACUUAUCCACCAUGACCAGCAGCAUCCCUCACAUGUAAAAAAUGUAGAAUAAAUAUGAAUUUAUUUUGUUGAUUUUAA